GUUUGUUCCUGAGUACAUACUAAAAUUGGAACAAUAUAGAGAAAAUUAGCGUGACCUUUGCGCAAGAAUGACACUAGACUUCGUGGAACGUUAAAGAUUUUU
Oesophagostomum dentatum (nodular worm) is the source of this 102-nucleotide non-coding RNA. The record is from Rfam. NCBI's taxonomy places the organism in Eukaryota, Metazoa, Nematoda, Chromadorea, Rhabditida, Strongylidae.